RNAcentral lists this long non-coding RNA (1943 nucleotides) under Nicotiana tabacum (common tobacco). RNAcentral describes it as "long non-coding RNA (NTAB_LNC013438)". The record is from RNAcentral. Lineage: Eukaryota; Viridiplantae; Streptophyta; Magnoliopsida; Solanales; Solanaceae.
GCGUACCGAGAAUACAGAAACUUCACCAGCUUUGCAACUUGUUCGAACCUCGUUCUGAAAUUGGAAUAUGACUCUAACAGAAGAGAAGUCACACGAAGUGCAUACUUCCCAGAUGAUUAGAAGACUUAGAGAGAGGCAGGUUUCGUAACAAUAUAUAUACAGUCCAAACAAUAUCAAAGCGGUAAACAGCGGCAAUUAGCACAUUAAGCUCAAACAUAUAAAAAUCUUAUAAUAAAUACAAGCCAACUAUAACAGUUAUUCUAAGCUCGAAUUCAUUCUUUUUACUACCUCGAAAGGGGUAUAGGGGGAGUUUUUCAAAUUUAAGUGACAAUCAAAACGAGAUUAUUUAAUUAAAAUUCUGACUCGCCACUUGGGAUAAUUUAUGGUGUCCCAAGUCAUCGGUUUAAAAUCCUGAAUCGAGGAAAUUUGACUCUUAUUUAUGGUCUGCUAAUACAAAAAUCCGGGUAAGAAAUUUUGUUAACCCGGGAAAAGAUGUUAGGCAUUCCUGAGUUCCGUGAUUCUAGCACGGCCGCUCAACUAUUAUUAUUGGCUCAAUUAUCUGAUUUAAUUCCACAUUUAAAACCUACGUGCCCCUUUUAACCUUUUAACCGCUUUUAAUAUUUCAGGAAAAUUCAAAUUUUUUAAAACACAUCGUAAGUCACGCUACAUGAAAUGCACUCGCGUUCAUGAUGCAUUCUAUUUAACCUUGUUGGAUAUUAAAAUCGGGUCAUAUGAAAUGUACACCCGAAUUUUUAGAAAUUAAGCAUCACAACUACGUCACGGGAACCGUACCCGUAGCUAUGACAAUUUAAUAUAGCGCGCCUAAAGCAAGCUACGAUAGAGUAUUAAAUAUGAAAAGUAUGCUAGUUUUAUGACUUAUUAGUGAUAUUCCCAUACCCACUUAUCCCUUGAGUUUUAGAAAUAAACUAGAUGAAACGGUUGACACCAUGAAUCCUUAAACAUAAUGAAAAAUUAUUUUACACAGCUAAAGCGAUUUCUUUGCCUAGAACUUUAGGAACACAUAUAAAUUAGUUUUCACUUGAAUCAUGCAAUUUAUGGAACUUCAAAAUGGACAAGAUUCAAUAACAUCUAGAUCAGUGAACUCAUAACACAACAUUAAACUCAAACAUCACCACAAAGAACAAUAGAAUAUCAAUUCAAACGAUCAAUAAGACAACGAAACAACAAUCUCCAAAACAAGGAAAAGCACUAUAUUAAGCAAAACAGCAAAAUAAGGGAGAAAUAGACCUCAACCCGCUAGAACCCAGACGGAACUCGAACCGGAAACCAAUAGACAGUACCUCGAUGUGCGACUGAAACAGACUCCUUGCAUAACGACCCCCGACAACCUUGAAGCUCGCUGGAAAACUCGGACUAAACUAGAAAGACAAAAUCAACGAUCUCCAUAACAGUGACUCGCGAUUCAGAGCUGUUUCGAGCUAUUUCACAUUGUUUCGAUGGAGGUUUCGAGCAGUGGAGCGAGGGUACAGAGCUUUACUCUAUUGUUGUGAUGUGAAGAAGAUGAUGAUAGGUGAUCUUAGCUCUUGUUCCUCGUCUCUCGUCCCUGUUGUUGUCCGUUUUUCCAACCCCUGCUUUCCCUCGUUCCUCUCAUCUCUCUCUCGUGUAUAUCUGUAGGUGUGUGUGUUUUGUGAAGGAUGUCCAUUUUAUGAAUGGAGUAGGUCAUUUGGAAGAAGGAAACUCUAAAGCUUUUGUUUGAAUAAGCCUAAUUGUUGGUUCUCUUUUUGGAGAUUGUUGCCGGCAUUCCGAUGAGCUUGGUGGUGAAGAAACGAGUUGGUGGGUCUGUUAUGAAGAAAACGUUCAGGGGGGUCGUCGAAGAAGACGAUCUUUGGGGGGGGAUCCUAGGUCUGCGGCUAUCAGCUUUUUUAGUCUACGGAUAUAUUCUUUAGGUUAGUUUUUUGUGUCCAAAAUCCAUGGAAACGGCU